UGGGGAAUCUUGCGCAAUGGGCGAAAGCCUGACGCAGCGACGCCGCGUGGGUGAUGAAGGCCUUCGGGUUGUAAAGCCCUGUGGAGAGGGACGAAUAAGUUCGACCUAAUACGUCGGGCGAUGACGGUACCUCUUUAGCAAGCACCGGCUAACUCUGUGCCAGCAGCCGCGGUAAGACAGAGGGUGCAAACGUUGUUCGGAAUUACUGGGCGUAAAGCGCGUGUAGGCGGUCGUGCAAGUCGGGUGUGAAAGCCCAGGGCUCAACCCUGGAAGUGCAUUCGAUACUGCAUGGCUAGAGUCCCGGAGAGGAUGGUGGAACUCUCGGUGUAGAGGUGAAAUUCGUAGAUAUCGAGAAGAACACCGGUGGCGAAGGCGGCCAUCUGAACGGUGACUGACGCUGAGACGCGAAAGCGUGGGGAGCAAACA
RNAcentral lists this ribosomal RNA (426 nucleotides) under uncultured bacterium. RNAcentral describes it as "bacterial SSU rRNA". It matches the Rfam family "Bacterial small subunit ribosomal RNA", at positions 355 to 774 of the family's 1533-position model. The record is from RNAcentral.